UGCCAGCAGCCGCGGUAAUACGGAGGGUGCAAGCGUUGUUCGGAAUCAUUGGGCGUAAAGCGGGUGUAGGCGGCUUGGCAAGUCGAGUGUGAAAUCCCUGGGCCCAACCCAGGAACUGCACUCGAAACUGCCUCGCUAGAGUCCCGGAGAGGGUGGCGGAAUUCCCGGUGUAGGGGUGAAAUUCGUAGAUAUCGGGAGGAACACCAGUGGCGAAGGCGGCCACCUGGACGGUGACUGACGCUCAGACCCGAAAGCGUGGGGAGCAAACAGGAUUAGAUA
RNAcentral lists this ribosomal RNA (279 nucleotides) under uncultured bacterium. RNAcentral's name for it is "partial 16S ribosomal RNA". It matches the Rfam family "Bacterial small subunit ribosomal RNA", at positions 506 to 784 of the family's 1533-position model. The record is from RNAcentral.